UUUAAUUCCUAACCUUGCAUGAGAAGGGAACAAGUGGCCAAGUGGGCUUUUAAUAUUCAUUAACUACUUAGGAAACUUAGUGACCAAGUUUAGCAUUAAACAAAAGCAUUUCCUCUCUCUUCCUCCCCUCUCAUUUUCGUCCAUCUCUCUCUCCCUCUCUACUCUCACUAUUUUCUUUUCAAUCCAUCAUGGAAGAACACUCCAAAGCUUCUAAACACAUAGAUCCACCAUCACCAUUCCUAGAGCUAGCCUUCAAUCACCAAGAAUCAAGAGAAUGAUCAAGCUAGAGUUUUCAAACCCAAGUGGAUCAAAGAGUUCGCCAUUUUCUUAAAUAUUGAGGGUAAGUGGAUCAACCUUAAGAUUCCUUAAAUCUACCUCCAUUUCUUGAUGUUUUGAUGGAAGAAAACAAGAAAAUCAAACCCCUCCAUCAUUUCUCUAAUUUUCGAAAAUUGGGGGUAUUUUUACCCUUCAAAUAUUUUCACUUUCUUUUCUUAAAUCGAGGCAAUAAUUAUGUAAUUUGAGAACCUAUUGAGUUGAUAUCCAUGAGUUUUAAAAGGAUUAGAAAGGAUUUUGAAUUUUCAAAGAGUUUAGUUUGCUAAAUUUGGGAAGUUUUGGAUUUGAGGUUGAUUGAUGAAUUGAUGGAUGAUAUAUGCUUUUGAGAGUGUUUAUAUGAGAUUUGAUGGAUUGGAUUGAUGGUUGAAAUUGAUUAGUAAUUUUUUAUAUGAGUUAGUUUGAUGUAAUUUGGGUAAAAUUGAUUCUAUGGUUUAAUUUACUAAUUGAUUGCUUAUUUAUGCUAUUAAGUGUGCCAAUUUGAUUAAUCUAAGGUUUGAUUAAUGAUUUAUGUAUGUUUGUAGAUUUUCAAAAAGUUUAGUUUGUUAAAAAUUGGGACUUUGUGAUCUAUGUGUUAAUUGAUUAAAUUGGCUAAGUUUAAUUGUUAUUAAGCAUGAUAGAAAUGAUAAUUAGGGAUCAAUUUGGUUAGAUGUCAAGAAUGCCUAAAAUUGGUUAAGUUUAGUUUGCUAAUAAUUGGGAACUUUUGAUUAAUGAGAUAAAUACUUGAAUUGAUGAUGUUUAUAUGUUAGUUAGACUACUAGCAAGGAGAAAGCAUGAUUAAUUUGGUUAAUGAUGUUGAUUUGUGAAAAUUUCUCGAGUUUAGUUUGCGUGCAUACAUGAGAUCUUGUAUAUAAGAUGAGUUAUGAGUCGAGCAUGUUUAUAUAUGGCUAUUUGAUGAUAAAUUGAGCUUGUAUAUGCGAUAUGAGACUAAACGGACCAACUCCUAAUGACUUAUGUGUUGGCCGAAUGUAAGGAGAAAAAGGGGAAGUCGAUGUUUGAAUUUUCUUGAGUUAUAUGAUCAUGUAUUUAUGUUAUUGUGAUUUAUAUGAGCUUAAUUUGAAUUUUUGAGAUUUUUCAUAAGAAGUCCGGAAUUUAGGUAUAUUUGCUUUAUGCUCAAGUGGGAGUUAAUUUGAAACUUUUUUAAAGGCUACUGACCUACUGUUUUCGACCGAUUUUGAUUCAAAAGCCAUGAAAUUUUAUGGUAAGUAUAUUUGAGAGUUAGCACACGGUAAAAUUUCAAGUCAUUUGGACUUCGUUUACUAUUUUUAUAAAAAUACAAACCCUAAACUGCACUUUACUACCGAGAAUUUCAGAGAACAGGGUAAAGAGUCAUUAUUUUCAGUAGCUUCCUGUGUGAUAUAGCUUUCCAAAAUUUUAUGGUAUUAACCUUAUUUUGUUAUCUAGAUAUCCACUAAAUUUGAUCCCAGUUUGACAACAUUUACUAUUUUUCAAAAAUCCAAGUUUUCGAUUGCUCAAAACUGCGGAAUAUGGUAGAUCGUGGUAAAAAUGACAUAUCUCCCAAACCACUUGGAGUUUUUGACUCUACUUUUUUUUAAUUAUGAAACUAGACUCGAAGAUAUUUCUUUUGGUCUGAGUCUCGAGUCCACGGAGAUGUCGGAGUCAGAACAGGUUAAUUUUUGAAGUUGAGUCAGUGUAAAAACAGAGCAUGUUUUGAUGGUGCAUGAUUAUUAUCUCUUAUGUGAACAUGUGAAUUUCUAAAUGAUAUUAAGUUUAAGGAUGUUAUUCUAUUUGUUUUUAUGGUUAGUGAUUAUGUGGUUAGUCGAGGUUAUGUUGGUUUUUGAUUGUUUUAAUCGAAACGACUUAUGGAUGCUAGAACCCUAAAAUACUAAAAGAUACCCUAGACACGUAGAAUUAGACUUUGUCUUGUGACAAUUUUCUUCACGAACUUACCGACUCUUCAUCAAUAAGGGUCCGGGCGACAGGAAAUGAAGCCGAAGAAGAAGCGACUCCACGCUAGCUUAAGAACGUUUGAGGUGGGCAUUAUUUUAUUAUUACGUAUAUAGAGAUCCCCUGCGUGACGUAGGCCUCAUAUGCGAAUAUAUAUGCAUGAUAUGUUUUGACUAUUUAUUCAGUUCUUAUGAAAUGCUUAUAUGUUUAAUGCCCUUUAUGAAAAUGAAAAUGUUAUGAAAAUGAAAUGUUUAUGAAAUGAUUGACUGCCAAAAUGUUUAUGUUUUUAUAUGUAUCCUAUCUGUGUUGGUUCGCCAACUUUAAAGGAAAUCCAAUUGGGAUCCUAUGCUAGACAAAGGUCGCUAGCUAGGGUUAACGUGUACACUCAUGGAGAUCGCGAGUCGCUUGCGACCGGUCUUGGCGUCCGUGGUAAGGAGGCCUCCUUCCCGGCGCGUGAUAGAAAGGACAGAUAUGGAUCAUAUAGACUGAAAAUGGGAUGCAUCCAUCUUUAUGAAAAUGAACGAAAUGUUUUAGUAAGCGCAGGUCAUUUAUGAAAACCCCUGUGUGUUACUGUUAUGGCAGUUCAAUUUAUAUAUGUAUGCAUGUUGUAUUUCGGCUUAUGUCACUGAGUAUUUUUAUACUCAGCCCUGCAUGUAUUUCUAAAUGUGCAGGUUGAGCAGGCGAUGGAAUGGAUCGGUGUUGAGCGGAUUUCUCUUUUGAUGUUUAUGUAAUGAAACCUUGAGUAUGCAUCUCCAUAUGCAUAACUCACACGUUUUUCCGCUGCAAACACUCUGACUUAUUUAUCAUUUCUACUUGAACUUAUUACUACUUCAUUUUAAUUAACUUUCAUUUGGGGUCUAGUCGUUAUGGCAGGCUCGUUUGUUAAUUACCCAAG
RNAcentral lists this long non-coding RNA (3133 nucleotides) under Salvia miltiorrhiza (redroot sage). RNAcentral's name for it is "long non-coding RNA (SMIL_LNC007117)". Lineage: Eukaryota; Viridiplantae; Streptophyta; Magnoliopsida; Lamiales; Lamiaceae. The record is from RNAcentral.